AAUCAUGCAUGUCUCUACUAAAAAUAUUUGUAUCCUUCACUCUCAUAAUGCAUGAAACAAAAAUUAAGGAUGUUAAGUAAUAUUUAGGUUUUCUCCGAGGACUCUAAAAUUUUAUCCUUGAUAUAAACUAAUAGAUAUUAGAGUGUAUCAUUUUAUGGGAGAUCUAUGGAGGUCGUUGUGUAUUUUAAUUAUGUUAUGGUCCUUCUUCUAACAAAACAAGAUUCUUGUGUAUUAUUGGC
This 239-nucleotide long non-coding RNA is filed under the name Lathyrus oleraceus (garden pea). Its description in RNAcentral is "Pisum sativum (pea) long non-coding RNA (PSAT_LNC017112)". The record is from RNAcentral. Lineage: Eukaryota; Viridiplantae; Streptophyta; Magnoliopsida; Fabales; Fabaceae.